Ictalurus punctatus (channel catfish) is the source of this 13203-nucleotide long non-coding RNA. The record is from Ensembl. Lineage: Eukaryota; Metazoa; Chordata; Actinopteri; Siluriformes; Ictaluridae.
UUUCAAGACUGAUGAUGUCAUAUUUAUUGAUGAAAUGUAUUCAUGUCCAUGCUAGUCAUCUGACAAACAUUUGAAGCGACGUGUCAACGCUCUACGAAUCUCUACAACUACGUCAUGACUAAAUAUAAUAAAUAUUUAACGUUUCACGGGCGUAUAAAUUAGCAGGUAAGCUAAGAAAUCGAACUGAAUUCCAGCCAAAAUGUACAUCUAGGAAUGAAUAGGAACUUAAAUAUAGGCAUUAGCUCAAGCCUGGUUUACUGGUAACCAGGCAGUCAAGCCUGCUAGCUUUCAUCCAUUAUUAGCAACACUGCCUUUAGGCAGAGAGAAGACGGUCCAGAAUUGCCCAAUAGUAUUUUUUUUUUUCUUUGUGCUUUCUUGGUUAUAAAUGGGUCUUUUCCUUUGUAAAUGUUAUUACAAAGUAAGACUCUAAAGCGUAUAAAGAUGACUGUGAGGAACUCUUGUAGCCGGCUAGUUGUCAGAUUUGUUUUAGAGUGGACUCCAUUAGCAAGUUCCUGACUGCAGGUUUGGACUCUGCGUUGGAUCAACACGGUCGAGCGAGCGGAACAUUAACAGAACCGUCCGACAACUUGAUGGCAAUGUGAAAUCUUAUCCAAACAAAAAGGGUGCCAGGUUGUAGGCCUGCCAAAAGCCUUGGUCUGAGUUUUCACGUGUAUGUGCAUGUAGCUGGAAGUGUAUCGCUGCUGGCAUGACUCAAUACAUCAGUUUGUUUCAUGCCUGAUCCUGAAUAUUCGCACUGAUGUGCUGUGGAUUAUAAAAACUGUGUGUGUGUGUGUGUGUGUGUGUGUGUGUGUGUGCGUGCUUACGGGCCUACACCGACGAGAUCAGUCGAGUCAAAGCACAUAAAUCACAAGCUGGGCCGGAGUAGACAAGCCAAUAUCGAUCUACUCCUCACAACACAUUCAUUUUAUAGUGUGAAGGAGAGCCGUAGAGUUCACACGGCGCUCUUUCACGGAGCUCUUUCGCGUCCAAUUCUGGGACCUUUUGUUUCUCUCGCUGAUGCUUUUGAUUCCAUCGUCAGCCCAGGCUCCGUUCCAGUCAGCCCUCAAGUUCCACAAAUCACAGUGCCCUUUUUUAACAGCCUGCCCCCUUUUGGAGUGUGCUGCUCUCUUCCCCCAGUAGUCCGCCCUCGCUGGCUCUCAAUUAUCAUCGUGGCUUUCGCCGUGACUUUUCCUGUCCGCUUUGAUCGAAGAGGAGCCGCUGUAACACGUCGUUCAAAUCUCCAUGUUUACAGUUUAGAGCCCCGGAGUCAAACACGUUAGCUGUCUUUUAAAAAAAAAUUAGUAUUUCACACUGAGCUUGCUGCCAAACUGACCUCUCUUAGUCACGCUGUCUCUGCCUCUGUCCCUGAUGGCCAAAUAGCCUCCGUAAAUGCCUACACGUAGACACUGUUCACCGGCUAAUGGGGGUGUGUUUGUUUAUUUAUUUAUUUAUUUAUUUAUUUAUUUAUCCAUUUUCAUUCUUAUACACACACACACACACACACACACAAAAAAAGCCAUUUGAACAGCUACGUCUUUGCCUCAGAGUUCAGCACAAAAAAAUGGCAGAGAAGUGCCUCGAGUGUAUGCCUGGUUUCCUUCAAACAUAACAGAACCUUUUGCUUAUGCUCGUGAUUCCAUAAAAGGUUUAAUGUAGCGCAAAUCUCUUGACUUGAAAGACGUCUGCGCAAAAAAACACAUCUGUCCAUCGAGUCGUCGUGUAUCGGCUCUGUCUCAAACUUCAACUUGUGACCCCGCCAGCCGAGAACGAUCUGGUACGGGAAUCGGGAUGCCUGCGGCGCCGCAUUCUUCCGUGUUUUCCCCGUUCGAACACCAAGCUUGACUCGUUAGCAUCCGCCAGAGCUGUCGAAGCUGGGAAGACCCAAAAACAAAGCAGCAUGUUGGUUCACCAGAAUUGGAAAUACCCAUUCCCGACCUAGGAUCUAAUUACAGCAUGUGCUGACGCAAAACCAUCUUCCCAGGGGUGGUCAGAAAGUCCUGAUGUGAAAGAAGCAGAAUGAGAUAUCGAGGGGCGUCCGAUCGACGUAUACCCCGAUAGGUCCGGGGUCCAGCUUCAUUGCAUCACGUUAAAAAUAAUCGCAAAACAGUUUAAACCGAUUAGCUACUGGAAAACCAGCCAGAACUAACAAACCCGUUGACUUUGUGACUUCAGAUUGACCCUCGGGGCCGUUCGUCUUUGAAAACGACAGUCCUGGGAUUGUACAAAGGAGGAUGUUUACACUGAGUCAGGGAAGAACUAACAGGAUUUCUUAGUCAAUAACACAAGGCCCACUUGUUUGAAAUCAGUCAGCAGUAUGGUCUUCAUUUUAGGAGGACGCUGCAAACAUUCUACUGCACAACAGAGCUCUGUUUGCUUCCAUCUGCUGCCAUUUUGGUCCGCCCCGAACGAGGCCGGAACUCACUGGAUGCACUUGUUAAACCGAUGCGGCGUUUCAAUUCCGAACGUACCUCUACCUUCGAGUGCUGGGAGUGAGGUUCGAAAGGUUCUUUCACUGAUCUGCUGUAGCCAAAUGAAACGUCAAUAUAAAAUCACUUUCUUUUUGUUCUCUCUCUCUCUCUCUCUCUCUCUCUCUCUCUCUCUCUCUCUCUCUCUCAUGGAUCGACGCAAUCAUGGCGUUUGGCUUUUGCUCAAGCAGAGUCAUUGGCGAACCGUUUGAAUGAGGAAGGAUGUUAGGGAGAUUACACAAACAGGGAUAGGGUAUAUUUUGGGCACAUCUCGAGCAUUGAUGAGCAGUUUUGUUUCUAGUCUUUCCAACGUCUGGUAGAACGGCACAUGUAGAAUGUAGUUUUCCGUCGUCCCUUAAAGGGUCAAUGUCUCUGUAGAAUUCCACCAAAGAGUGUUUCCCCAUUAGAAAGAUGUCGGAGUGGAAGCCUUAAGUAGUGUUUUCCACUUUCCACCCAACCGCCUGCACACAUUGUACAUGUAAUUGAAUGAGAAGAGGCAGCAAGAUGGCCACCGCUGUUUUCAGAGCUCUCGGCUUUUCGGAAAAGUUGCUUUUUUUUCCUUUCCCAUAUCUGCACUAAAGACAUUCUAGAGCGCACUUUUGAAAAAUAAAUAACAAUAAGUCACACGCUAAGUGAGGAAACGGCUUCAAGCAAGAGUACGAUCUUCUUCACUAAUGCGUCGGAGUGCGUAUCAGGCGUUAUAGUACGAUUAACAGCGUGUUAGGAGCGUACAGUGUUGGCGUCCGGAUUAAAUAUUUACCGCUAACGGGAAAUUAAGCGAAUCCGUUUAUUUCUAUUGUAUUUGAUAACAGGCUGGUAGUGGACUCGUACUUCUCCAACACAUUGUCAAUCUACGCCUCCUUCAUCCCGCCUCGUUAAGCUCUAAUUUGCACCUCUGUGAAAGAGCGAAAGUGAACGCUGUGGGGGAAUCGUGAUGCUUGUGUUUGCCUACAGCUGGAGAACACUUCCCACGAGAGGGAGGCGAGAGCAGUAAAUGUUUACGUGCGAAGGGUCAACCCUCCUGUUUCUUGAAAAUCAGCUCCGAGUCUCCGCUCAGGCAGGAGCGUACUAUGAAGAUGAGGCCUAAAUCUUACGUCUAUAGGCUACACGUGGCUCUCCUGGUUUAAAGAUGUACUAACAGGUACUGAUUACGUGGCAGAACAAAAAAGGGUCAGGGCGGGUUUCAUUUUAGAACCACAAAUGCUGCUUUCACACUUUGAGUUUUUUUUCUCAACCGCCAGUUGUACAUGUAACCCUACAGGAAGCAGUUGCAAGGUGGGCGAAUGGAGGCGUUUUCAAAAAGCACUGCCUCCUGCGGGUUUUUCGGUCUCUGAGGAGCGCUGAAAAAGUUUUCAGAAAAGCACAGUCAAGUUUUUAUUUAUUUCUUUCUUUUUUUAAUGGAUGUAUGUAUUAUUUUUUUCCAGCCAAGUUUGGAGGUUCAUGCGGCGACCCAGCAAACAGGGGACGUCCCCCGGAGAUUACGACCGUCCACUUAGGUCCGGGUUUAUAACGUUCGCUAGUGAGCGGACGUUCCGAGGACGUCUGAGGAUAUCGAAUCAUAACAAUACUGGAUGUGUUCAUUUCAGCGAAAGUCCCCCGAGCGUCCCGAUUGGCCGCUGGACGUCCUGUGAACGUCCCUUUGAACGUACCUAGGAUGUCUGGGGGACCCUACACAUGGAUGUUCGUAGACGCCAUUCAUGAGACGUCCUGGUGACGCUUUUUUUUUUUUGUCAGCUGGGAAGCAAGAAAAAACAAAAUGGAGGACAAAGCGACGGAGAAAAGCGUGUCUUGUUAAUGAGCGAAAUCCGAAAGAGAUUUGAAUCCAAUGACGCAACGUAACGGGAUGUAUUUUCGGGAUGUUCACCAGUACGUGAUGUGACCCACUGUAACGGUGGCUCCAUACAGUCGAGCCACAGACAAACUUUCUUGAUUUUCUGUCUCCGAAGCUAUGACGAAGCUUCGACGUCGCCACUUCAACCUUUUCUCGGAGAGCUAGCUAGUUAGCUAGUUAGCCGAUUCGAACUAGAACUGGAAAGCGUGUUGUGGUGUAAAAAUGAUUUUCAUACCAGAACUAAAAGCUGUUCAGCCAAAGUGUUUUCUAAUUUGACAUUCACCUGUGGAGUAAUAAAGACUCAAAACAGAGCAUUUAUUUAAAAAAAUAAAAUAAAUUAAUUGGAACCUAUUCAAGUGAAGCUUUGCAAAAAAAAAUAAAAUAAAAAAAAUCUCAAUACAAGUCAACAAUGAGUCGAUUCUCGGAAGUAGAGCUGUAGGACUGUCGAGGCUUUCUGUACUGACUUGGACUUAUUGCUAAAUGAGGUCUUGGUAUUGACCUUGAGGUUUCUUUGACGAGAAGCACUUCCUUCCUUUAGAAAUCAGCCCAGUCAUCGGCGUAUUGCACAAAUGAAGCUAGCUGAAGUAAAGGCUUGGCGUCAAACAGGAUUCGAUGGUAUUCUGUCUUGACCUUGACUCAGUCGUGCUUGCAUUUGACCCCCUUAAGACUCGGUCUUGACUCCAUCUCAGCUAGUCCUGGUCUUGAACUCUUGGACAAUGGCAUUCUUGAACUACUCGGAAGGAAGUACGAACCCAUUUUCGGUCCCCUCGUUCUUGAGACACACGCAUGUAGUCAGAGAGAGUGUGUGUGGUGUCCAGCCUACACAAUGUAGACGUAAAACCCACUGUAGCAAAGCAUUUAUUUAUUUAUUUAUUUUUAUUUUUGUUUUUUUGCAUUAGCCUAAUUGUAGCAGGCCAAAUCCCCUCCCCCUCCCCAGUCUAAUCUCAGGCAUACCAGUCCAGCAGUUGCUAUAUUCUGCUGCCACAGUGUUGUAAAUCAUAUUUGUCUUAUGAAAACUGGACAAACUAAAGCUACUUCUAAAAUUUUCCUCUAUAAUAUUAGUGUAUAAAGAUGUUCUUCAGGCCCGAUCGAGGGAUUAAGAUAAAGCCUGUGGAAAACCUUUCGCCCACUACGUCGACAUCAACCAGUCAAACACACCACACUGACUGUGGUCUCCGAAAGACAAACGAAUGAAAUUAUUCAGGUAUUCCUGCAUUAUGUAAUUUAAUUUUUUUUUUUUUUUUAAAUAUAAUCUCUUUUAGAUAUGACAAAUAUGACAGAAUGUUUAUGUCAUUGUGUUGAAGUGCAAGCUCAAUGUUUAAAACAAAACAAAAAAACAUUAUAUAAGAUACUAUAUUAAGACAAACUAGCUGAGAUAAAUACAUUUUGAACUGGUCGCUAUUUAAAUGUACAGUUAAUUGGCAUCUCUAUGAUUUAUAUGUAAUCAUCCUUACUGCUUUCAGCCAGUAAUAAUUGAGUGCUGUUACUUAAAUAAAUGAUAAACACUUGAUCAAUCUGCUCUGAAAUGACACGGCUGAAUUUUUUAAACGAUCUUACAGCGCACUCUGGUGGUGUCGGAGGGAACUGCAACCGUCUCUAAGGAGCGUUCAACCCUUUCAGUUCAGAGCCCAUUGAAGCCUCAGAUUCCUGUUCCUAGCCCAUCCACCUCAAGGUUUGCAGUGUUGUGUGUUCUGAGAUGCUUUUCUGCUUGCCAAGGUUGUAACGAGUGGUUAUUUGAGUUACGGUAUUCGCUAUCAGUGCCAUCAUUCACCUUCGCAAUGAUUGUCAUAUUUAUGGAACCAUAGUACUGUAUAUGGACUAUGGCACAACCAUGAUUCUAGAGCAGGGGUGUCCACACUCGGUCUUGGAGGGCCACUGUCCUGCAGAGUUUAGCUUCAACUUGCCUCCAGACCUUGAUUAGCCGUUUCAGAUUUAAUUGGGGUUAGGAGUUAACCGUGCAGGACAGUGGCCCUCCAGGAGUAGGAUCAGACGCCCCUGCUCCAGAGCAAGCCAGAGAACGACUGUUGAUUUCAAUUGUAUUUUUGCCUGAAGUGUUUGUGGAAAACUCAGGCAGCAGAAGAUAAUCACACGUUUGAUGAUCAAGCCCUUUUCUGCUCCACUAGAUGGCAGGUGGAGCUCAGAGAAAGUGUGAGUGUUGGGGUGUGUGUGUGUGUGUGUGUGUGUGUGUGUGUGUGUGUGUUUCCACAGCGCCCCUCCUGAGUGUUUGUGUCUAAUUAUCUCUGUGGUCCACAGAGAGACGAGUCUGACACCUGUCUGUUCUCCCAGUGCACUCACUCUCUAUCUGUCUCUCAUUCACUAACACUGUCUUCCUCUCUCACCAUCCCUCUAUCAUAAUUAUAUAUAUAAUAAAUAAAACCCUAAAGGGUUCCUGAGACUGACUGUCUGUGGGAACACAUGUAGAUGCCAGGUAGAACCCUUUUAAGAAGCUAAGGAGCCUAAACUAUCCAAAGAAAACCCUUUUAGAACGAAACGGAGGAAUUGUAAAACUGUCACUUUCAGGUUCAUAUCUGACUUCCUUUAUAUCCUUUCCACCGUACACACUUGCUCUUGCGGCAGAAUGAGCACAAAUCCCCACAGCCACAGUUCAAGAUCUAGUGGGAAGCCUUCCCUGAAAAGUGGAGAUCAUCAUAACAGCAAAGGGGAACUAAAUCGGUUGUCAGGUGUCCACAAAUUUAUGGCCAUGAAGUAAUCUGGACUACUCAUGAAGCUUAAAAAACGUGUUCAAAUAAAAACAAUGCGGUGUCCCUAUUUUAUUUAUUCUGUUGAAGGGUGCCAAUAAUUCUGGUGUUAACUCUCUCUCUCUCUCUCUCUCUCUCUCUCUACCCCAUAGAGAGAGAGGGAGCUGCAUCCCUCCACCCUGAUCCGCUCUCCUCUCCUCUACAUAUGCCAAGUUUGCAAAAGCACGCUUCACAGAGUAACCUUUCUGCGACUUCCCCGAGCUGCCACGCCUGCCCGUGUUUUUGCCUCCUAACAUGUCCAUUACCUUUCUCGCUAAGCAAUGUUUGGACGUUUGCUUGUUUUAUUAUUUUUUUUAACGCUAUUUCCAUCCUUAAAGUAACCUUUGACCUUACGUUUCGGCCAUCGUAACAGCGAAGGCGUGAGCGGCGUCGGGAAAUCGAGUAACCAUCCGGCACGGUUGCGUCGACGAGAUUCGACGCGAUGUUGUUUAUCCCGAGCCGCAGCCACGCUGCGGUUCACCUCGAGCCGGAGAACAUCCCUGGAAGAGUAAAUAAAUAAAGAAAUAAAUAAAUAAACGUGCUCGGAAAGUCCAUUAAAAUGGAAGGCAGCGCCGGGGUGACUUUAGCUCCUAAUUAAAAACAGAUGUGUCCAUUUAAUAUUCUUAAUACUUGGAGGGAGACAAUCACUGCAGAAAUAUCUAUUUGCCUCAUUAAAUUGAGAGGCUUGAUCAUGAUGAGGAAGAGAAUAAUGAAUGAAGACGGGCAUGUUUACCAGGUUGUCUAAAUAGAGUUUGCCAGGAGAGAAGCGGCGCACGUCAUAGACAGAGAAUGAGAGAGAUGUACACGUGGGCGGCCUCGCAACGAGAGGGAGAGUUAAUGUUUAUUAUUAAUGUUUAUUAUGACUGACAUAAUGAAAGCGGAGCAUGCUGACGAAACAGAAAGGACAAGUUUGGGUAAAUCACGUAGCUGUCAAAGAACAAGCUAACUGCUGCUUUUUUAUUUCUUCGUGAAGCCGUUAAUAUGGCGUGUGUUAACAGUGCUGGGCUUGAUGUCGGGAAAGCGUUAGUGUUCAGGAGGCUCGGUCCUUUCCACCUUUGUCCAAAAAUCCAUCCAUUUUCCACUUGUCGUACACAGGGUCACGGGGGAGCCUGGAGCCUAUCCCAGGGAACCCGGGGCACAAAGUAGGGGACACUCUGGACAGGGCCAACCCAUCGCAGGACACAAUUGCACACACACACUAAGGACAAUUUCGAAAUGCCGAUCGAUCUACAACGCAUGUGAAGAACGUGCAAGCUCUGCGCACACAAGGUAGAGGUGGGCUUCGAACCCGCGACCCUGGAGGUCCGAGGCGAGCAUGCUAAGCGCUAAGCCGCCGUGGCCACAAACCUAUAACCGAAAAGGAUUCGAUCAUCCACGGAUCUAAACUCAUCCGAAAUCUUUCGCUGAAAAAAAAAAAAUCCCUGACGUGGUUUAGGACUUCCUGUUCUCUAUAAACAUGGACACAAAUUCAGUGUAGCUGAACGCUGUAGCGUUAUUUAUGACAUCUUGCGAUCUUGAAAAUCUGCGAUCAUGUUUCUAUACUAACUCGACUGAUUCUCGUUCGGCCUGUAGGCCCUACCUCCUAAAGUGUCCUAGCAGGUGGUGGUGGUGGAUCUCAGGAUCCUGGGUGUGAGACGGAAAUACUCCCUAGAUGAGGCACCACUCACACAUCCACACACACAUUCAAACCUAGAGGCAAUCUAUCCAAGCAAAUCCACCUACUGGCAUGCUGUUAGUAGAUAGGAGGAAACCCAAAAGGACAUGUGAUGAACGUGUAAAACUCCACACAGACGUUAAGCUCAGGAUCGCACCGGGAACCUGUGAGGCAGCCAUGUUACCCAGCAACUGUACCACCAUGCACUGAUGAUCUAUCCGUGCUAUUCUGCAGAACUGUUCAUUCAGAAAUCGUGUCAGUUUUAUUUGAAGCAAGACUGAAGAUAAAUAUCUACAGAAAAGAUUGUGCGACUAAGGACUACAUUUGUUGUAAGCGCACGUGAACCUUAUGUACGUGAGCAAGUCUGUGAUCGGCCGUAGCAAAUGAAGCACGCCCAAGAUGGACGGACUCGGAUUGUCAUGAAAUUUCUACAGCGCCACCUGCAGUACCGGAGCACUCGUACGCGACUGCCGAAAGGAAACCGCAGCCCCACGUGCCGUCAUGUCAACAGCGCAUGUCACUCAGGUGUAACUUCCUGGUUAUAAGGGCAAACUUGAUAAGCUUGUGUUUAACCCACACGUUGGCCAAAAUGUAGAUAGCACUACAUCAGAUUUCCAAUUAACAGCAGUGUAAUAAACGUCAGAGCACCACAUUAGACUGGACAGAUGAGAAGUGCGCAGGAGGCCCACUGCCGUCUCCCACCAUCAGCUAAUGUGUCAUUCCAUCUUCAAAACACCUCUGCGUGCGAUCUGAGGAUUAAUAGGCCUAAUUGCCCUUCCGAUUAUGACGGGUAAUUAGUCCGGAAGAUCAAAGUGACACUCGUUCUUUUACACACACUGCCUUUGUGUACUCCUUAGAUGGAUGAAAAUACACAUACACGCAAAGGUAGGAUUUGAAGGUCGUGACGUGUCUCGACACGUGACGCAGAACGCCUGGAGACACGCGCACGUGUCUAGCGAGGUACGUCUUUCUACGUCUGUCUUACGGGGAUCAGCAGAGACGCUGGAGAUCCGGACACGCAGCAGGGUCCAAUAGUCUGCACAGUGUUGGUCAAAUUUCCAUUCUGAUUGGUCGUCAGCUCGGACAGUGGUUCUGCUUCGAAGGCAAGGUUUAUUUCACAGGUUUAUAUGAAGGCCCUCCUGAUAUAUUAUUGUUUCUAUAGUAACAAAUUACAGAAGGACUUGCAUGGCGAAUGCUCCACAUACGGUGACGUUUUCUGUUAGGAGAAAAGUGUUUCUGUAGCAUUUAUGGAAGGAGUCUCCAGUGUCGGCGCGUUGUAACAGUCAGAGGUAAAGCUGUAACGUUGCACUUCUGACAGCUUCAGGACAGAGGAGUUUACACUUUCUGGUUUCUCUAUGACACUGCUUUGUAUUUUUUGUUUGUUUUAUUCGUUUAAACAGAACGGAAAAUGGAACGAGACGGAGCGACUGUUUUUGGCGGCUGUAACGUAACGUGAGAAGAGGAACUAACUUGUUUCGCGGAUGUUCAACAGUAAUGAAUGCAGGUAUAAAUUGAUUUUUUAAAAUUAUAUCGGUUAGUAAAAAAUUUUAGCUUUGAAAAUAUGUUGCUGAGGUACAAAAGGAAUAAAAUACUAUGGGAUGGGUUGUUCUAGGAAAAUAAUCAACUUGCUUACAUAAUGUGCCUCGAAUCAAUCAUGAGAUCUGCUAUUAUUGUUUCUAUUAAAUCCUGAACUGGACAGUCUUUGACCCAGGAUAAGAACCCCUGAUGAAGGAAACCAACAAAGGACUAUUUGCAGGAAUUUUGCCUAGAGUAUGGGAUGGAAAAAGCCAUAAUGCUACAUAUGAUGCUAGUUGUGUGAAGGGCCAGUUGUGUGAAAUGCUAAUUGUGUUAUGCUAGUUGUGUGUUAUGCUAGUUAUGUGAAAUGUUAGUUGUGUGAAAUGCUAGUUGUGUGUUAUGCUAGUUAUGUGUAAUGUUAGUUGUGUGAAAUGCUAGUUGUGUGAAAUGCUAGUUGUGUGAAAUGCUAGUUGUGUGAAAUGCUAGUUGUGUGAAAGGCCAGUUGUGUGAUGCUAGUUAUGUGAAAUGUUAGUUGUGUGAAAUGUUAGUUGUGUGAAAUGUUAGUUGUGUUAUGCUAGUUGUGUGAAAUGCUAGUUGUGUCAUGCUAGUUGUGUGAAAGGCCAGUUGUGUUAAAUGCUAGUUGUGUGAAAUACUAGUUGUGUGAAAUGCUAGUUGUGUGAAAUGCUAGUUGUGUGAAAUGCUAGUUGUGUGAAAGGCCAUUUGUGUGAAAUGCUAGUUGUGUGAAAUGUUAGUUUUGUGUUAUGCUAGUUGUGUGAAAUGUUAGUUGUGUGAAAGGCCAGUUGUGUGAAAGGCCAGUUGUGUGAAUGCUAGUUGUGUGAAAUGCCAGUUGUGUGAAAUGUUAGUUGUGUGAAAUGUUAGUUGUGUGAAAUGUUAGUUGUGUGAAAUGCUAGUUGUGUGAUGCUAGUUUUAUGAGAGCAUGUUAAUGUUAUGUUAGUGGCAGAUGUACAGAUUAGCAGCAUUGCUACAAUAAGUUUUGGGAUCUUGGACAUUUCUGAAAUCUCAGCACAGCGUGCAGUGUUUGGAUGUACUUUUAACUAGUGAUAUUCGUGAACGUUAUCUAGCUAAUUUUUCUCCAGGACUUUGCUAGUCACCUUUAACAGCGGCUCUCGAGCUCGAGGCUGAAUUCUUCAAAGACUAAAAUUUAACUCGGUUUACCAUCAAUCCAACUUUCUUAACAGCGGUUCAGUUAGUGGUCAGUUAAUGAAACAUCUUGUUGAUGAGACAGCGAGAGAGCGAGAGAGAGAGAGAGCGCAGAGGAGAAUGGACCAGACUGGUCUGAGCUGACAGGAAGUCUGUAGUAACUCAAAUGAGCACUCUUUACAACCAUGGUGUGCAGAGAAACAUCUCAGAAUGCACAAUACAUUAAACCUUGAAGUAGCUGGGCUACAACAUGAGAAGACCAGCUCAGGUUCCACUCCUGUUAGCCAAGAACAGGAAUCUGAUGUUAGCAUGAGCACAGACUCACUCAAACUGGACAGUUGAAGAUCACCAUGGUCUUUUUCUAGUCUUCAACUGUCCAGUUUGGGUGCCCAUGUUAGCCUGAGAUUCCUGUUCUUGGCUGACAGUAGUGGAACCCGGUGUGGUCUUCUGCUGUUCUAGCCCAUCCAUCUCAAGAUUCAAUGUUUCAUGCAUACGGAGAUGCUUUUCUGCUCACUACGUUUGUAAAGAGUGAUUAUUUGAGUUAUUAUAUAUUCCCUGCCAGCUCGAACCAAACCCCAGGAUAUCAGCGGUUUCUGAAAAACUCAACCCAGCCCAUCUGGGACCAACCACGAUCAAAAUCACACUUUUUCUUCCUUCUGAUGUCUGAUGUGAACGUUACCUGAAGCUCUUGACCUGUAUCCGCAUGACUCGAUGCGUCAUGCUGGUUGGCUGGUCACAUGAUUCUCCGGUUGGAUAACUCCAUCAGUGAGCAGGUGCACAGGUCUUACUAUGAAAGUCGAUGGUGAGUGCAUAUUAAUAUGAAUGUAUUCAGUGUUCCUGGUUCUCAAAAAUGCUGCCCUUUGACUCACAAUGGCGCUUGCAAACAAAUACGCAUGUCUAAGUUGUUUAAUUGCCUUUUAUUCUCAGAAUUAUAAAACUCCCAGUGGGAUACUCUAUGUGCACUUUUACACUCCCAUGAGAAAAUACGCUGCUGAGAUUCUCACCCUCUCUGGAGAGACCGGUUCAUUAGUGAACCUGUGUCAAGAGGUGUUAUUAUUAGAAUUUGAACCCUUCCACACACACACACACACACACACACACUUUUCUCCCCUUAGUUGUGCACAAAAACCCUGAGGCCCCUGUACACCAUACAGAACCUCCAGACAGCAGCUGGGGUGGAAAACUAAUACCUGCAUUAAUACUGAGAGUCAAGAUGAGCUAACGUCCACAGAGAGAGAGAGAGAGUGCGAGUGAGCGCGUGAGAGAGAGAGAGAGCGCUGUGCUGCAGGGCAGAAAGGCAUCCGUAGUUGAUGGCUGUAAUUAGUAGCCUGUGACAACACUGCACACCAGAGAUGAGCAUUCAGAGAGGCAACACAGGGACACCGCACGCCUGACACACAGCAAUAAUUAUUAAUAACGCAAACAAUCAUCACAUCACUUAUUAUUUCUAUUAAUGCAUGACCUCCAUGCGAAGGGACCCAGCAAAAGUCUCACCGGGAGGCGCUGAGAUUUUUUUGCAGCAACGUUAAAUCUACUCCUGUAGUAAUACAUUUACUUGAACGCGUCGGUCAAAAACAAUUCAAAUAAUACGUGCAUGAAAAAAGCAAUCGUACUUCCGGUUAGAGUUCAACUUUAAAUCCAUAUCUAGCGAUCCAUGAGGUCACUUCCUCUCUUUACAUUCAGGCUUCUCGAAUAUUCUUCACGCUUCAUUUUUAUUCAUUUUUCUUUUAUUAUAAAGCUACUAACCAAACCAGAGAGGGUUAAAUCGAACACGUGCUUCUUCCAAGACACAUAAAACCACCCAACCCCUUUAUUUUUUUUUAUUUAUUUUUUUUUUUU